AUACCAAGUUGCUGAUCUCCA
This 21-nucleotide unclassified non-coding RNA is filed under the name Dictyostelium discoideum. Lineage: Eukaryota; Evosea; Eumycetozoa; Dictyosteliales; Dictyosteliaceae. The record is from RNAcentral.